GAGUGCUUGGGGGGAGGAAAGUCCGGGCUCCACAGGGCAGGGUGCCAGGUAACGCCUGGGGGGCGCGAGCCUACGGAAAGUGCAACAGAAAGUAUACCGCCCCGCUACUCAUGAGUAGCGGGGUAAGGGUGAAAAGGUGCGGUAAGAGCGCACCGCGCGACUGGUAACAGGCGUGGCGAUGGUAAACCCCACUCGGAGCAAGACCAAAUAGGAAUCCAUUAGCUGUGGCCCACAGUGGAUUCGGGUAGGUCGCUACAGGCAGGUGGUGACACCUGUCGCAGAUGAAUGAUCAUCCACGACAGAACCCGGCUUAUCGACCGACUCGUUUA
RNAcentral lists this RNase P RNA (329 nucleotides) under Halieaceae bacterium. RNAcentral describes it as "partial RNase P RNA component class A". It matches the Rfam family "Bacterial RNase P class A". From Rfam's summary of the family: Ribonuclease P (RNase P) is a ubiquitous endoribonuclease, found in archaea, bacteria and eukarya as well as chloroplasts and mitochondria. Its best characterised activity is the generation of mature 5'-ends of tRNAs by cleaving the 5'-leader elements of precursor-tRNAs. Cellular RNase Ps are ribonucleoproteins. Lineage: Bacteria; Pseudomonadati; Pseudomonadota; Gammaproteobacteria; Cellvibrionales; Halieaceae. The record is from RNAcentral.